GGAAGAAUUGCACCCUGAAAAAAGAGCGGAAAGGCAUCACUGGAUAAGCCACAAGAGAGCGCUGUGAGGGAUGCAGCUCUAUCCUUGGUUUUUGAACGUCACUUCAAUCAUGCCUUCUCACAGACCCUGGUGGCACAUGAUCCACUGGAUCCAGAACUUUCUGGAUCAGCCCUGAAGCAGAGCUGUGAGCCAUGUGUUUUGUCAGCCUCUGCUAUUUUCUGAAGGGUAAGAUCAGAAUCUUUCCUCUUUUGAGAUCUUGGGAUCUUCCAGCAUUAGUGUCCAAGUCUGUACUCGGCAACAAUAAUCUGUGAGUUCAGGCCAAAUGAAGAACCAAAGGAACGCCGUAGAGCUCCACAGUACCUUCAGAAGGAGCCCAAGAAGAUAAAAUUCAUAUCUUUAAGAAGAUCUUAUAUUUAAGAAUCUGUUGUUUCUGAAUUUUUCACAAAUAAAAAAUACUGAAUUCUCAUAAAAUGAUGUUUUUUGA
This is a long non-coding RNA of Octodon degus (degu), 484 nucleotides long. RefSeq lists it as uncharacterized. The transcript is spliced from 3 exons. Lineage: Eukaryota; Metazoa; Chordata; Mammalia; Rodentia; Octodontidae. The record is from RefSeq and is a predicted model, not a curated record.